AAUUGUCAAGAUUUUUUGGCAUCCUAAUUCUGUUAUCCAUCUCAUUAAAUAACCAUUCCUCCACUGGGUCAUCUGCAAAUCUGUAACCUGGGAGCUUGCUCUCUGGUGUGAGAUGCCCAAAUUAGGAGAAGGUACUUUCAUUUGUUAAUAGCAAGUCUCAUGACACAACCUCUCAUUUCAAUAGCUAUCUUCAAUUAUAAAAUUAUAAACAAACACUGUUCAUUAAUUUCCUAAUUAUCCUUCUUAACUCCAACCAUUUGCUGUCUGACCUCUAUGCUUGCCACGUACAAACAUUUACUCAGAGAGGAGCUGAAGACACCCAAGCUGCCAAGCUCCAUCUCUAAAGAGAAGCAAAGUGCUCAGAAGACAUUCACUCAUGGAACAUUCUGCCAGCCUUGUGGAAUCCAGGAGCUUUAAGCUAUUCUCAUGUAGAAAGAAGUGAAACUACCAGCAAAGACAAAGAAGCCCGUGUUUCCCGAGCAUUUCCACACAGAGGAGGACCCCAAAGCCCUCAGCUAUGAAACGUGUUGGAAACCAUGAACCUGGUGGCGGCGUCAGUGUGGGCCAGCAAUCGUUUUAGAUAACAUCGGGCAAUUGAUAAAUCCAAAUUCAACCCCAAGAGGCAAGCAAGAUUCACCAUGAUUUUGCUGCAGCUGAAAAGGUUCCUCCUGAUACAGUGUCUUGGCACGGUUGAUAUCUGGGGCUGGAUAACUCUGUUGUGGGUUGCUGUCCCGUGAACUGAAGGAUGUUUAGCAGCAUCCCUGCCCUCUCCCCACUAGGUGCCAUUGUAACAGUCAGAAACAUCUCCUGACAUUGCCAAAUGUCCUCCAAGGGGUAAAAUCACCCCAGUUGAGACCUGCUGCUUUAACUUGAAAGUUCAAGCCCUAAGCCUGAAACCCGAAUAUUUUCUUCCUGGCUGAAACUUGGAAAGAAAGGAAACUUGAAAGUAAAUAGUGGAUGAGCUCUCUUCCUCACAAAACCCAGAACACUGGCAGCCUUCAUUGUAAGGGCUUGCACGCUUCUGAAUCAGCUCACGGAAUUAUACAGCCCAAGAGUAAACCCUGAUGGAAACUAUGGAUGUCAGCUAACAAGAACGUAUCAAGAUUGGUUCUCCAGUUGUGACAAGUGUUCCAUGCCAAUGUAAGAUGUUAAUAACAGGGGAG
This is a long non-coding RNA of Mirounga angustirostris (Northern elephant seal), 1163 nucleotides long. RefSeq lists it as uncharacterized. The transcript is spliced from 5 exons. NCBI's taxonomy places the organism in Eukaryota, Metazoa, Chordata, Mammalia, Carnivora, Phocidae. The record is from RefSeq and is a predicted model, not a curated record.